UAAAACUUUAUAAGGAUUCAAAAUGCUUUUGGGGUCAAGUAACUUCUUGAUCGAACCCAUAAGUUGCACAGCUUCCGCCGACUUGCUGUAAUGAAUUUUAUCAGCUUUCAUUAGUCCGAGUCCAUGUUCCGCACUGAUACUUCCUCGGUGCAUUGACGUCCACUGAUAGACAAAGGGUUCAAUCUGCGCAAGUAUAUUAUCAUCAUACUGAGCUGUUGAAAUAUUUAGAUGCAAGUUACCAUCUCCAAGGUGUCCAUA
Molecule: unclassified non-coding RNA, 258 nt
Filed under: Hevea brasiliensis (rubber tree)
Lineage: Eukaryota; Viridiplantae; Streptophyta; Magnoliopsida; Malpighiales; Euphorbiaceae
Source: RNAcentral